Molecule: long non-coding RNA, 428 nt
Filed under: Ictidomys tridecemlineatus (thirteen-lined ground squirrel)
Lineage: Eukaryota; Metazoa; Chordata; Mammalia; Rodentia; Sciuridae
Description: lncRNA (ENSSTOG00000033673.1)
Source: RNAcentral
CCCAGUUGUGUAACUCACCUCUGAGUCACGCUUCCCCUGACUCCCCCUGUGCUGUGGCUGCCUUCCGCCUGGCAGAGCAGAGCUUCCUCAGGACACCAGACAGGCCACUCUCGUCCAGAAGUCAGGGUCGUGACGAUGGGCUCUUCUGCCUCGGGUACACCAGCUAGGAAGAUGUCACUUUUAAUUACGGUGAUGGAGGAUAGGUCUCCACUUCUCCUGGAAGACACCGUAGCUUCCAUCCUCCAGUCGCAGCAGAUGAAUAUUUUAUUACCUUGCUUUUGCCAUGGCAUUAGGCAGUUUUCCUGUGAAGAGCCAGAGCGUGACAAACUCCAGCAGGCAGAGACGAGGGCUCUGAUGACGGAGCCGCGGAAAGCAAAUCACCCCGUCAAGUCCCAGGAGGGCUCACAGAUGCUGGUGGUUGGUGUCUU